RNAcentral lists this long non-coding RNA (1490 nucleotides) under Citrus maxima (pomelo). RNAcentral's name for it is "long non-coding RNA (CMAX_LNC003286)". Lineage: Eukaryota; Viridiplantae; Streptophyta; Magnoliopsida; Sapindales; Rutaceae. The record is from RNAcentral.
UGCCAAAACCAUGUUUAUUUCUUUGGGUGGCUGCCAAAGCCAAUUUUAUUUUGGCUAGGCCACCACCGGCUUUGACAAGAUUAACCAACUUAACCCUUUUCAUUGUUUUCAAGUCCAAUGUUCGGACGAGAAGUCACCUUGAAUUCCACUUUCUUGAAUUCCGAUGUUCGGUAGCAUCAAAAGGUUUUCAAUCCAUGGCAAAUAUCUUCAAUUAAUAAGAAACCGUAAGCAACCUGAGAGAGAGAAUAGACUUCUUCCCACAGCUAGACCGGAGCUUUAAGAUUAGAUUCGGAUACUCGUCACUCUCCUUGACACCGUUAUCAUCAUCGUAUAUAAGUGAACGCAAGGGAGUAUAAGCACCUAAUUUAGGACAGGGAGAAACCAGGAUUUGCGGUUGUUCUUCAGCUGAACAAGUAACAUGCUUGAUAGCAAAAGAAACGCUGUCAAUUGGGUCAACCCAGAACUUGGAGACAUUGCGGAACCGCUAGAGCGAAUAACGGGGAGUCUCAGAAAGAUUUCGUAGACGAUCUCUCAAGGAAUGCACGGACUUUGACAUUUUGUGACUUCUAUUAUUCUUUGAUCUGUAAAAAUUAUUCGAGUAUCACAUAUAUUUGUGGGCAAUUCCGAAGGUAUUUGUAUCAGACCUAGCAGACAUAUAUGUGAUCUCAUAAUUCUAUUAUGGGAUGCGAAAUUUAUAUUAUUUUAAUUAUUUUCAGCAAGUAUUUUAAUUUUUGUCAAUUAUCUAAGUCUUUUCUAUUAUUAUCUACGUACGAGUUUUUUUAGUCUAGUGAAUUUAUUCAAUUAUAGAUAGUGUUUGAUAGUCUUUCAAUAAUAAAAAAACCCUCUUUUAUAGUUUCUUUCGAAAUUAUCUAUCAAAAUUUCCUUAAUUAUAUCAUAGAGAUUUUGAUAUAUAAUUUAAAGAGAGUUUUUCUCACAUUCUUGGUAUUUCUUCUGAUCAUAAUAAUCAAUGUAUUAAGUAGAUGAAAUAUAUCCCCUCUGUCCAAGAGUCAAAUAAAAAUCGGAAGGGCAAAUUUAAUAGGAAGAAUGAAUGCUGGGUUCAUAAGAUGAUAGUGAAUACAGCGUCUUGGAAGAUUCCGUAUUGGAAAAAUAAAUAAUCACAAGCGGUUUGCAGGAGGUUGAAGUGCAUAUGAUCCUGCUGAGAUCGUCCAACAAAUCUUCCUGAGACUGCCUGUCAAAACACUUUUGAUUUUCCAUCGUGCCUCCAAGAUCUGGCACAUUGCUUCAGCAGCUCAACAACCAAAUUUUGUAUUCUUCCAGUACUCUUGCUGAUUAAAGGUGGCAAUCAUCUGCAUUCCCUUAUAUAUGACGGUAAUUCAUCAAAGAAAGUGCGUAUUUGAAUACAAUAUUAAGUGUGUUAUAUUAGUGAAAAAGAACGCCAUGUUCCCUGACAAAGUACAAGGGUGAAAAUUUAUUUAUUUGGCUAAUUUGGGAUCAAGAACAAUACACUGUAAUUCUUGUAGGUAAAAACC